RNAcentral lists this transfer RNA (77 nucleotides) under Alligator mississippiensis (American alligator). It matches the Rfam family "tRNA". Rfam says of the family: Transfer RNA (tRNA) molecules are approximately 80 nucleotides in length. Their secondary structure includes four short double-helical elements and three loops (D, anti-codon, and T loops). Lineage: Eukaryota; Metazoa; Chordata; Crocodylia; Alligatoridae. The record is from RNAcentral.
UCACGGGUAAGGUGGCCGAGUGUUAAUGGCGGUAGGCUGUAAACCUAUUUACGAGGGUUUGAUUCCCUUCUUUAUCA